UCCCUGCUGGCUUAGCUGGUAAAGCAUCUACCUAUAAUGCGGGAGACCUGGGUUCAAUCUCUGGGUUGGGAA
This 72-nucleotide transfer RNA is filed under the name Bos taurus (domestic cattle). It matches the Rfam family "tRNA". From Rfam's summary of the family: Transfer RNA (tRNA) molecules are approximately 80 nucleotides in length. Their secondary structure includes four short double-helical elements and three loops (D, anti-codon, and T loops). Lineage: Eukaryota; Metazoa; Chordata; Mammalia; Artiodactyla; Bovidae. The record is from Rfam by way of RNAcentral. RNAcentral also lists the same sequence under 5 other names.